AUGAUAUAUCUUGAUUUUAGUAAGGCUUUUAACAUAGUCCUACAUGACAUUCUCAUAAACAAAUUAGGGAAAUGUGAAACACAUCAAAGAUUGUGAAGUAUUCAGACAAUACAAUAAUGGGGGCCAUACAAGUACCUAAGAUAAUAGAGUGGGGUGAGAGAGGGAUCCAGUAGAGAAAGAAACACAAUAGAAGGUUGUCUUUUUUUGUUCUUGUUAUUCCUUUUCUGUAGUCUCCUUUCUUUGGGGCCAUUGUGUGACAUUUUAGGCCCGUAAGGUCUUCUGUCACUGCCUGCCCUUUAACCAUGGGUACCUCUCUGCUGUGCAGCUUUGGCUCAGAGCCCUGAUGCCAACAGCAUGCCCACAGCACGGUAGCCUCACCUUGGCUUCCAUCAUCCUGGUUACUCCUUGUAGGGGGACACCAACAGUCCUUUCGGUUCUGAGUCUCCCUAAAACUAUCUCCUCUGUAGUGUCCAGUCCCUCUCACUGGGCCCUCACAGAAGAUAUUAAGUUUGCUGCCUCCAAAGAGACACCAUAUGUACCAGCCUGCUAGUUUAGCUGAAGGCCCACCCACAUGUAGUUGAAAUACACAGCAUUCAGAUGGUUUGUGGUAAAACUAAAACGAAGUUCAUUAACCAAAAAUUUAGGAUUAAGUGGGCUUCUAGUACGAAUGAAAGAGAGAUGAAAAGUUACAAACUAUACAUGCUUUCUAGUGAUGACAUUUAACUUCAGGAAGUUACAGUCUGAACAUAAGGAGGUUUCUUCAGUUUUCAGAGACUUUCAGCCUCCUUGGUUGAAAAUUUCUAUUUGUUUUUCCUCAGAUAUACAAGAGCUCUGGCCACUUGUAUCUGUCCAGUAAUGGAUACCAAAAUGGCUCUCUAUCUUUGCUUAUCUCUUCCAAAGUUCAAUGACCUUAUCUCAGGAGGCAAGGAGGUUUCUUGUAGUUGCAUCUUCCAUUGUUAAGAGGCCAUCCCCCACACUGGUUUGCCUGAGGACUUUAUCUACUUUGCAUGUAAAUGUAAUUUCGUUGUCUCUUCUUCCUCAAUUUACAUUGGAAACACAUUCAAGCAGGCAGAACCACAAACCUUUGUUUAAGGUGGGGAUGUCUUAAACCCUGUUUGCCAAACACAUUUUAAGAAAAUAUUUCCAGCACGUAUUUAUAAUUAUUCGUAUAUCAGCUGUACAUACACCACACACUAAUAUUAAUGAUCAACAUGUCACUAGUUUACAUAUAAUAUCUUCCAGGGCACCUUUUAGGUACAGAUUAUGACAAUAGCGAGUUGGAGCAAGGAGAGUGCCAGGCCUGAUAUGAGUUAUAUUAUGGUGUGCCCACUGCCAGUUGGCACAGAAGGGCUUCCUAGGUCACACAUUGCUAUCCCCUUUGCUGUGGCCACAGGGGGACCCAGAUGGAGUGGGAUUAGAGUUGUCUUGUGCAAGGUGGGGGAUAGAAUUUGGAAAGCCAGCUCAGAGGUCUACACUGGGAAUACAUUGCAGAGCCAAGUUGUGUGUGGCUCUGUCAGGAUCUCCGUACAAUGGCUUUGGCAGCGCAGAGCUGGCAGAUGGCCUGGGGGCUGCCACUACGCAGAGCCACUGCUCUUGUCCUUUGUAGAGUGGUAAUGCAGUGGGUGGUGAACUGCAGUAGCAUCCACAGAGGAUUUUUUCCUUUUGUCCUACACUAAGCCUGACUACUUGGGCAGGGUGCAGGAAGAGGACUUGGUGCUCUAUGUUUCGAUGUAUUUUGUUUGUCAGCCUGCCGUGAUGAACGCACAUAAGACAAAGACUAACACAGUCCAUUUUGGUGUAAUUUCCCUAGGUUCCAAAUUAUCCAUUUCUUUUUUUAAACUAUCACCAAAUAAUUUGAGUUCUCAUGUUAAUCAUAACAGGCACCCCGGGAGUUUGGAAUUUCUGUACCUCUACUGCAGACGACACAUCUUUGUUAUUGCACAUCUCCUACAGAAAACACACAUACACUGUAGUCAUUGUAGACAACAAUGAGCAGUUGGCUCAUAAUUUCAAUUUAUUAUCAAAAGGUUUUCCUCAGACGACAAACUCAGAAAGCUAAAAUGAACAUAGUUUUUUAAAUACAGUAUACCCAUUAUAGAAGUCAUUGGAGGUAUCUGGUGUUUAUUUUUGGAAGUCUUAACUGGCUUCAAUACAAGAAGCAGUAAGUUUCUUGGCAACCUGCACAAGGGCAUUUCAUAUAUAUCAUAGUGUAUUUAAAGCCUUUUGCCAGUACCGAUUAAGGGUCCAAUCUUGCAAACACUUGUAUAACUCUGACAUAACCAGUCUCAUUGACUUCAAAUGGACUACUCACAUCAACAAAGUCAAAGUAUUUACUGGAUCUGUCCCUAAAAAUUGAAAAAAUACAGAAGAUGCCAUCCAUAGGUCUGGGCACAUCCACACUAUCACAACCAGUGUUAAAUAUAAUCACCAGUAAACUAGAAACCUUCAACAAUCUCCAAUACUGACCAAUUAGUGACUGUCUGGAUUAAGGUCAAAGCAACCUCCUAAAUAUCUGAGAGAACAGACGAUCUUUUCAGCAUGCAUGGAAUGGCAACAAAUCUGGGCUCCAGACGAUCCAGGGGAAGCACAUUCCUGAGUCAAGGCCUGAUGGAGAAUACCCUGCCAGCUGCUUCCUUCCAUUCCUCACAAGGGAGCUCCGUGCUGAGUGCCCCUGUGGAUCCCAACUCUGGAUGUAUUGUAUGGGGAGAAAGAUGAUCUCUUAGCACAAGACUUGAACAGAAGAGAAACAGGACGAUGAAGGAUACAGCAUCAAGAUUAUUGCUGCUAGACGGACUGUAGUCACUGCAAACCAAGGCAUCCAAUUAAGGAAGAUCUAGGAAGCAUGAUGUGCUUUAUUGGCUUGGCUUUCUGUUCAGAUUUAAAUGAUAUUCUAUGACACACUAAUAGUUGGUAGAGUUAGAUGGGCAAAAGAUUUCUGUAAGGCUUCCAUGUUCUACUCUUAUCUAGCUGGCAAUCUCCUUUGCUUUAGUUUCUGUAAAAAAGGGAACUAAUCAAACUGUCUUUCCAUAGUAACAUCUUGAGUUUGUCUUAGUAUUUCUCUGGAAAAAGCCCAUCUAUUACAUCAUCUGUAGACUCUUGAGUUGUGGGCCAGAUGGUCUGGUGAGUGUUAAGAGCCCCUCUACCUUCCUGCAUGUGCAGAUCCCACCUUCCUCCAUGGAAGUGUAUGGGGGGCUGACACCUUCAUGGCAUCAGUACCAAACCUCCUGAAUUUCCUCUGUGGGAUCAGAGAUCUGCAGCCUGAAAGAGGCAGGGGGAUGGGGGGAAUGGGAGGGAGAGGGUCAUGUGUGAGGGAGACAGAGAGUUAACUCAGCCUUAGUUAAUUUGUCAAUGGAUUAUAAUACCAGUGUAACCCCUUUCCAGGUGUUGUCAGCAGCAACAAGGACCAGGUUCAAAUAUCUAGGGAUUCCUCUUAAAAUUAACAUACCAUUGGCUCAAGCCCCUACCUAGAGACCUGAGGAAACUGGGCACCUUAAUAGGCAAUACUUCCCCACUCACAGUCCCUGAGUCUGUGUGUGAAACAAGGAAAACUUUAUUAAGGGACAAGGGGACAUGGCAUUAACUUGGGAAAACAGCAACAGUAAAUCAGCAAUAUAUUUAUAUGAACCAUAAGAGAAACCCUCACACCAGUGAUAACUUUGGGAGUCAUCCUUUACCUCAAUUCCCCACUAGCUAGUGUGAACAUUUGAUAGGCGAAUGCCUCUUUAACAUGUCAAUUUCCACCUUCCCCCUGAGCUACACACUACUCCAUGGUUGGUGUCAGUGGUUAGUGUAGUUCCAGAGUGCACUUGGGUGGUCCUGUCAGCAGCCACUAGGCAAAGUGAUGGCCGAUCCAGUCCUGUGGUUCCACCACCUCACCCUGCUGUUGAGACUUCAGCUUGAUUUGAUGCUGGGUAGGGAGGGCCUCAGCAGAAUUCAUGCAGCUCUGUUGCUGCCUCCAUGACUUCAGCAAAGAACUACCUCAGUGCUGUGUCUCACUGCAAAGCAUGAUCCUAUCACAAGGUCUUCAGUGGAGGGGGUGAAUGGUCUAUAGGACCCGUGAGCAGAGUCCCUUUCCCCUCCCUCUGUCUCUCUGUUAAAUUCCACUCUCACACCAAUUCCCAUCACUCACUGACACCCCAUCUGACUGGCAUCACCACUUGGAUGGUUUCUGGGUAGAAAGCUCUGGACUCUCUCUAGGCAUACAUUUCCCCUGGCAGUACUGAGCUCCCUUCCCUCUAAAGCAGCAGUUCUCAAACUGUGGGUCAGGACCCCAAAGUGGGUCGUGACCCCAUUUUAAUGGGGUCGCCAGGCUGGCUUAGAUUUGCUGGGGCCCAGGUCAGCGCUGGGUGGCAGAACUCAGUUUAUAGGCUCCCUGCCUGAGACUGAAGCCCCUGGGCUUCUGCUUUGGCUCCCCCACCCGCAGCGGUGGUGCUCAGGCAGGCUCAGGCUUCAGUCCCCCUUCCUGGGGUCGUGUAGUAACGUCUCAUGCGGCGCCUCAUGGUCUCAGACGCCAUCCGAUGGUCCAGCGACAUCUACAUCGAGCACAUCACCAGCCAC
Molecule: RNA transcript, 4557 nt
Organism: Chrysemys picta bellii (western painted turtle)
Lineage: Eukaryota; Metazoa; Chordata; Testudines; Emydidae
Source: RefSeq, a predicted model, not a curated record